This 576-nucleotide ribosomal RNA is filed under the name Triticum aestivum (bread wheat). Its description in RNAcentral is "partial small subunit ribosomal RNA". The record is from RNAcentral. Lineage: Eukaryota; Viridiplantae; Streptophyta; Magnoliopsida; Poales; Poaceae.
AUGGCCGGCGAGCAUCAGCAGAGCCAGGGCGCGGCCAAGGCCCUGUCCAAGGGCUCGCCGUCGCCGUCGUUCCGCCUGCGCAACGGCAGCCUGAACGCGGUGCGGCUGCGGCGCGUGUUCGACAUGUUCGACCGCAACGGCGACGGCGAGAUCACGGUGGACGAGCUGGCGCAGGCGCUGGACGCGCUCGGGCUGGAGGCGGACCGCGCCAGCCUGGCCGCCACCGUGGGCGCGCACGUGCCGCCCGGCGCCUCCGGGCUCCACUUCGAGGACUUCGAGGGCCUCCACCGCGCGCUCGGCGACGCGCUCUUCGGCGCCCUCGCCGACGACGCCGAGGAGGGCGGCGCCGGCGGGCAGGACGAGGAGGAGAUGCGGGAGGCCUUCAAGGUGUUCGACGUCGACGGCGACGGCUUCAUCUCGGCGUCGGAGCUGCAGGAGGUGCUCAAGAAGCUGGGCAUGCCCGAGGCCAGCAGCCUGGCCAACGUCCGGGAGAUGAUCUGCAACGUCGACCGCGACAGCGACGGCCGCAUCGACUUCGGCGAGUUCAAGAUCAUGAUGCAAGGGAUCAACGUCUGA